CCUACGGGAGGCAGCAGUGGGGGAUAUUGCACAAUGGGGGAAACCCUGAUGCAGCGACGCCGCGUGGGCGAAGAAGUAUUUCGGUAUGUAAAGCCCUAUUAGCAGGGAAGAAGAAAUGACGGUACCUGAGUAAGAAGCACCGGCUAAAUACGUGCCAGCAGCCGCGGUAAUACGUAUGGUGCAAGCGUUAUCCGGAUUUACUGGGUGUAAAGGGAGCGCAGGCGGCACGGCAAGCCUGAUGUGAAAGUCCGCGGCCCAACCGCGGGACUGCAUUGGGAACUACCGGGCUGGAGUGCCGGAGAGGUAGGCGGAAUGCGUGGUGUAGCGGUGAAAUGCGUAGAUAUUAGGAGGAACACCGGUGGCGAAGGCGGCCUACGGGACGGUGACUGACGCUGAGGCUCGAAAGCGUGGGUAGCAAACAGGAUUAGAUACCCUUGUAGUC
RNAcentral lists this ribosomal RNA (442 nucleotides) under uncultured bacterium. RNAcentral's name for it is "partial 16S ribosomal RNA". It matches the Rfam family "Bacterial small subunit ribosomal RNA", at positions 338 to 795 of the family's 1533-position model. The record is from RNAcentral.